RNAcentral lists this transfer RNA (66 nucleotides) under Brachytarsina amboinensis. RNAcentral's name for it is "tRNA-Asp". The record is from RNAcentral. Lineage: Eukaryota; Metazoa; Arthropoda; Insecta; Diptera; Streblidae.
AAAAAAUUAGUUAAAUUAUAACAUUAGUUUGUCAAACUAAAAUUAUUAUUAUAAUAAUAUUUUUUA